AAUGAACGCUGGCGGCAGGCCUAACACAUGCAAGUCGAACGGAUCCUUCGGGAUUAGUGGCGGACGGGUGAGUAACGCGUGGGAACAUACCCUUUGGUACGGAAUAGCCUCGGGAAACUGGGAGUAAUACCGUAUGUGGUCGAGAGACGAAAGAUUUAUCGCCAAAGGAUUGGCCCGCGUUGGAUUAAGUAGUUGGUGGGGUAAUGGCCUACCAAGCCGACGAUCCAUAGCUGGUUUGAGAGGAUGAUCAGCCACACUGGGACUGAGACACGGCCCAGACUCCUACGGGAGGCAGCAGUGGGGAAUCUUAGACAAUGGGGGAAACCCUGAUCUAGCCAUGCCGCGUGAUCGAUGAAGGCCUUAGGGUUGUAAAGAUCUUUCAGGUGGGAAGAUAAUGACUGUACCACCAGAAAAAGCCCCGGCUAACUCCGUGCCAGCAGCCGCCGUAA
Molecule: ribosomal RNA, 449 nt
Filed under: uncultured bacterium
Lineage: Bacteria
Description: partial 16S ribosomal RNA
Rfam family: Bacterial small subunit ribosomal RNA
Source: RNAcentral